CGCAUCUGUUGUGUCGCUGUUCAAUAAUUCAGCUAGCCAACGUAGGCAACGCAAACACUCCCUUUUUCAUAUUUGCAUACUUGGAAUUUGGCUUUUUGAUUCACGGUUGUUCCCAUUAGCUUUGAAAAUGCACGUCCCUGUCUAGUUGCGUGUUUUGCUUGAGUGAGCUCAAAUUAUGCUCUUGACUCAAAUAUUAUUACCAGUGUAAAUACUUUGGAGAUGUAAGUGUCUGCCCCUGAUGCGGGGGGUGUUUGUCUUAUUGAUUUUCAUCUGGCGAGUUUAAAAUAUGAGCAAACUUUUCAUGGAGGGUUCGGGGGCAUUUGUUUGAACACUCCUGGAGUAAAUUGGAAAUGCAACAAUUGUUUAAAAAGUGGCAUUGUCCGUGAAAAGAUUUAGUGAGGGAUGAAGAAAUUUCUUGAACCUAAAGACCUAAUCUGGUGAUCCAAUUCUCCCCACUGUGUCCAUUCCCGUGAAACUCCAUUGACUCGGCCCUGUCCAUCGCCAGCGCCCCGCAUCCCACCUAGCCAAUCCUCUAGAUUUCCCACAUUGUCUCCCCUUUUGUCUUCUCCGUCCAAACAGAAGAACAACAGAUAGGGUUCUGAAGGGCAGGGAGCAUCAGGAGCUGCAGGAGAAUGGCUGCGAUGAGGGUCAGAGUCCUGCCCCUACUGCCAACAGUUACUACGGUUUGUGCUGCCCGGCUGAACAGUGUUCAAAGGCUUUGCUGGGCUUUGUUCCACUGUGUAGGGAUUAGGCCUGGCGGUCUGAGAAUUUGCCUUCUAAUUAAAAAGGAUAAAAGAUAGAAGUAGCAUUAGUCUAAAACAGAGCAGUGAUACUUCACAGGCUGAUUUCUUUUUUUUUUUUUUUGAAAGUCACAAGACAACGCUGGAAGUUGUCGGGAUAUUUUUAUUUCUUCGGCGUGCCGUUCCAACGAAAAAGGGAAAACUUUGGAAACUCUUCCCAGCUAUUGUGCGCGGCCCACAGAGGUCUAAUUGCAUCUAAAAUAUCGGCUGUUUACAGUGAGGCCGUGUGGGUGAGGGGGUUUGCCGUCAGCGUUGGGGAAGGAAGGCGGCUCCCACAGCCUCCUUCUUCUUUUUUUACAGUGCUGGCAAGAAAUUAAUUCUCCCAAAAGUGAAUUCUGCUUCUCACUCCACCCUAGUGUGCCUGGCGCUCAAGCCUCCCCGAUGCCUACCCUGCCUCUUCCUUUGUCAGGGAUCAAUCACUCCUUUCAUCUCCUUGCUGCUGUGGACACUAUUUUCACCAGGUGUGAAAUGCAAUUAAGAACUAAUUCUGGCCUCACAGUCUUUUUUUCUCCCCUUCUUCUUCUUUUCUUUAUAGCAAUCUGGUGGAUGGCACGUUUGAAUCUUUCACAUCAGCCCUGUUCCCGUUCUGUGCCGGUAAAUGUGAUCCUGUGCCUACACUGGUUCAGAAGGAAGCUGUGCAGGGACCCCAGGGCAGGCUAGCAGCCUCCACACGGAGGAUGUACCGCCGAGAAGCGUGCUUGCCCGCCAUCCAGCGCACCCUUCCUGCCAGGUCCAAAGAACUAUAUGCUGACAGGAGAGACACAACUGGCACUUGUUGAAUUGCACAGGCACCUGGGAGUGAUUUGCCAGGUACUCCGCAGACGGGGUCUGCCCACUCCAUCACAGGAAGGAAUUGGAGCAAGGUCUGAAACAGAUCAGCUCAACAGGAAUCGUCCUUUCUGAAGAUUAAAACCAUCACACUAGUUCUGCGAAGGGCAUCCUAGAGAGCCUGUCGUUGACUUUCUGCUUUUUGUUUCUGGAAAAAGGGCGUUGGGGGAGGGAAGGCCUAGGAGAGGAGCUAUUGGCUUGGAGAAUAGACUUGGACGCGUUGCAAGCUCUGGAAACAGAUUUCUUUAUCCGCAAGCCAGGCUGGAGCACAUCCUCGGCCUGCGAUUGGGAGCCACCUUGUCCAGCCGAGGAGACCGCCGUCCCUAGGAAGGCAUCUGAGCGGGAUGCUUUGUCACUCACGUCCACGUCUCUGGACUUUUCUCAGCCUCAGGUCCCUCCUCAGCGAGACCGUUCCAGGUUUGCCUAUCUGCGUUUUGGUGAUACGGACUGCUGUCCACCUGUGUGGGGCUGAGAUCACACGACUCCUGUCACUGGCAAUGAGAUUUGGAUGGAAACCAAGGUCAUAAGGUAACUAGCCAGUGCUUUAUCCUCUCCGCCAAGCCCUUGGUAAGGGAUUCUCUUUGAUGAGGAGAAUGGUAGUUGGCUUUUCCAGAACUUAUAUCCAAAAGAGUCAUACAUAAUGCAUUUGCCUCUGUCCUACAGCUGCCGGCACAUGCCUGAAGGCUAAUGUAAAGAUUAGUUAAUGACAAGAGCUACUUUAAAUGAAUCAAAUGCUUCAGGAAGCAAAACAUGAUCCUCCACUAACAAAAAAUAAAAAUCACAAAAGCAAAUACACCUACUUUCAACUUCUGCCCAACAAUUCACGGCGUCUCUUUUUUUUAAUGCAAGGGAGCCUCUGGCCUGUAGGACCCCCCUCACUAAUGGUGCCUCUUUCUCCGUGGUCUUAUCCUGAUGAAAUAAUGUACAGUACACAGUGCCCCUCCUACAAGGUGUAAUGAGUUCUGCUGAUGCAAAGAAUGAUCAUAUCUGCUGUCUUGGUAAUAAAUGGCUCCACCCUGGUGCCUAAUUGCAGUGAAAA
Long non-coding RNA from Pipistrellus kuhlii (Kuhl's pipistrelle), 2667 nucleotides. RefSeq lists it as uncharacterized. The transcript has 2 exons. The record is from RefSeq and is a predicted model, not a curated record. NCBI's taxonomy places the organism in Eukaryota, Metazoa, Chordata, Mammalia, Chiroptera, Vespertilionidae.